RNAcentral lists this ribosomal RNA (918 nucleotides) under Salmonella enterica subsp. enterica serovar Austin. RNAcentral's name for it is "partial 23S ribosomal RNA". It matches the Rfam family "Bacterial large subunit ribosomal RNA", at positions 711 to 1545 of the family's 2925-position model. Lineage: Bacteria; Pseudomonadati; Pseudomonadota; Gammaproteobacteria; Enterobacterales; Enterobacteriaceae. The record is from RNAcentral.
AGACCCGAAACCCGGUGAUCUAGCCAUGGGCAGGUUGAAGGUUGGGUAACACUAACUGGAGGACCGAACCGACUAAUGUUGAAAAAUUAGCGGAUGACCUGUGGCUGGGGGUGAAAGGCCAAUCAAACCGGGAGAUAGCUGGUUCUCCCCGAAAGCUAUUUAGGUAGCGCCUCGUGAAUUCAUCUCCGGGGGUAGAGCACUGUUUCGGCUAGGGGGCCAUCCCGGCUUACCAACCCGAUGCAAACUGCGAAUACCGGAGAAUGUUAUCACGGGAGACACACGGCGGGUGCUAACGUCCGUCGUGAAGAGGGAAACAACCCAGACCGCCAGCUAAGGUCCCAAAGUCAUGGUUAAGUGGGAAACGAUGUGGGAAGGCCCAGACAGCCAGGAUGUUGGCUUAGAAGCAGCCAUCAUUUAAAGAAAGCGUAAUAGCUCACUGGUCGAGUCGGCCUGCGCGGAAGAUGUAACGGGGCUAAACCAUGCACCGAAGCUGCGGCAGCGAACGUAUCACCCAAGACAACUUUGCACAGUUGACGAUUGACGGAGCGGAGCGACGUCAAAGCGUUUUACAACGUCGAGUUGGCUUAGGGAUACGUUCGUUGGGUAGGGGAGCGUUCUGUAAGCCUGCGAAGGUGGCCUGUGAGGGUUGCUGGAGGUAUCAGAAGUGCGAAUGCUGACAUAAGUAACGAUAAAGCGGGUGAAAAGCCCGCUCGCCGGAAGACCAAGGGUUCCUGUCCAACGUUAAUCGGGGCAGGGUGAGUCGACCCCUAAGGCGAGGCCGAAAGGCGUAGUCGAUGGGAAACGGGUUAAUAUUCCCGUACUUGGUGUUACUGCGAAGGGGGGACGGAGAAGGCUAUGUUGGCCGGGCGACGGUUGUCCCGGUUUAAGCGUGUAGGCUGGUUUUCCAGGCAAAUCCGG